Molecule: RNA transcript, 1302 nt
Organism: Brassica rapa (field mustard)
Lineage: Eukaryota; Viridiplantae; Streptophyta; Magnoliopsida; Brassicales; Brassicaceae
Gene name: peptidyl-prolyl cis-trans isomerase CYP26-2, chloroplastic
Source: RefSeq, a predicted model, not a curated record
CUUUAAACUAUCUUUGUUCCUCCACCAAAGCCAUUAAUUAACGCACACACUUCUCAAGUAAAGAAAGUGAAAGACAAUGAUGCUACCCAAUGCAAAACUCUCGACCCCAACCUCAAAGUUUCUACCGCCGCCUAUAGAGCCACAGCAGCACAGCCGGAGAACCGCCGCAGGAGCCUCUCCGUCGCUGGAACUGAGCUGUAAAUUAUCACGCAGGAAUCUAAGUAAAUCCUCGUUGCUUCUACUCCUCGGCACUCAGACUACUCUGACGCCAUUGCUCGAUCUCUCUAAAGCACAAGCAGAUACGAUCUCUCAAGUAACUGAUAACCCGACAAGUUGUGGAGACAGAGUUUCGACAAAGAAAGCGUUCCUCGACGUAUCUAUCGGCGGAGAACCAGUUGGACGUAUCGUCAUCGGUUUAUACGGCGACGAUGUGCCGGCGGGAACGGCAAGAUUCAGUAGCAUUGUGAGCGGGAAAGCAGGAAUCAGUUACCGGAGAAAAGAGUUCGUGAAGAUAAUGCCAGGCUACGUCCAGCACGGCGGGAUCAGAUCGUACGGCGCCGACGCAGAGCGAGCCACCGCAGCAGCUGGGAGUCUGCAGAAACUAGUGGAAGAAUGGGAGAGAGGGAGGAGAGGAGAGAGGUGCAAAGAGGUUAAGGCGGGAAGCGUGGGGAUCGUGGUGAGGGAUCCGUUGAAGCCGCCGCCGAAGACGAAGCUGGUGGCGACUAACGGGAAGCUGGAGGUGCAGGAGGAGGAGAUUGCUGUGGGGCCUAACGGAACGGAGUUUGUUAUAACGGCGGUGGAUACGCCGGAGCUGGAGGAGUCGGUGUUGGUGAUUGGGGAAGUGUUGGAAGGGAUGGGAGUUGUGGAGAAGAUGAGGGAAGUUAAGACAGUGAGGGACAACACGAGUUCUCCUUACUUCAAGGUGGCUAAGGUAAUCGGAGAUAAGAGAGCCGUGGUAGCGGAAAGAGGGUUUAAUCGGCCAUAUACAAAGGUUCAGGUCACCAAUUGUGGUUUCAUUGAGUCACAAGACUCACAGUAGUCUCAAAGCCUUGGUCAAAUCCUUCUUUACUGUGAACUUUUUUGUGGUAUGGUGGAAAUAGUUUUCUCUUUUGGGAGCUUGAGAUGUACUAAAAAUGUAUGUUUUGGAAUGUUGAUUUGGUAUUAUGGUCUUAUGUUGAAUAACUUUAUAAUUUACCUCAAUGAGAAAAGCUAUGGAAUUAGCUUGUCAUUGUUAUUUUUCAUAUUUAACAUGGAUGUAACACUAGCAUAAUCGCUCGGUUUUAAUUGUCAACAAUAUGAAAA